GGCUCAGACGGUAGAGAAUCCACCUGCAAUGUGGAAGACCCAGGUUCGAUCCCUGG
Molecule: transfer RNA, 56 nt
Filed under: Ovis aries (sheep)
Lineage: Eukaryota; Metazoa; Chordata; Mammalia; Artiodactyla; Bovidae
Rfam family: tRNA
About the family: Transfer RNA (tRNA) molecules are approximately 80 nucleotides in length. Their secondary structure includes four short double-helical elements and three loops (D, anti-codon, and T loops). Further hydrogen bonds mediate the characteristic L-shaped molecular structure. tRNAs have two regions of fundamental functional importance: the anti-codon, which is responsible for specific mRNA codon recognition, and the 3' end, to which the tRNAs corresponding amino acid is attached (by aminoacyl-tRNA synthetases). tRNAs cope with the degeneracy of the genetic code in two manners: having more than one tRNA (with a specific anti-codon) for a particular amino acid; and 'wobble' base-pairing, i.e. permitting non-standard base-pairing at the 3rd anti-codon position.
Source: Rfam by way of RNAcentral